This 2251-nucleotide ribosomal RNA is filed under the name human metagenome. Its description in RNAcentral is "bacterial LSU rRNA". It matches the Rfam family "Bacterial large subunit ribosomal RNA", at positions 310 to 2318 of the family's 2925-position model. The record is from RNAcentral.
AGGUAAAAAAUCGGCGUGGUUAGCAGAACGAGUUGGAAAGCUCAGCCGGAGACUGUGAUAGCCAGGUAUGCGAAAACGACGCUGACCUUAUUCUGUAUUCUCGAGUAGGUCGGGGCACGAGAAACCCUGAUUGAAUCCGGCUGGACCACCAGCCAAGGCUAAAUAUAGUAUAUGAUUGAUAGUGAACUAGUACGGUGACGGAAAGGUGAAAAGAACCCCGGGAGGGGAGUGAAAUAGAACCUGAAAUUUUGUGCCUACAAGGAGUCGGAGCCCAGCACCUUUGAAAUCGAGUGGUACAAUGUAGACAGAUGUUCUACGUGUACGUUUUGCAAAGUGAUCGGGAAUCAGAUCAAAUUUACUUCGGUCAGACCAGUGACUUAAGACGACGUCUCUCGGAGCAUAAUUCCGGUAAGGAUACUUAUACCAAGAUAUAUGCGCCAUGGAAGGUUGUCUAUUAUGAAGCCUAUUCAUCACGCAAGCUAGCAAUGGCCCGUGAGAGGCAGUUGAAAGCUUAUGGACAAGCCAGGACUGCUCUGAAGAAGAGACUAAAUUUGAUCUGAUACUCGAUUUCAAAGGUGCUGGGUGACGGCGUGCUUUUUGUAGAACGAUCCAGCGAGUUAAUUUUUACGGCGAGGUUAAGUCAGAUGAUGAAGCCAUAGUGAAAGCGAGCAUUAACAGUGCGAUUUAGUCGUAAGGAUUAGACCCGAAACCAGGUGACCUAACCAUGAGCAGGUUGAAGCAACCUUAAUCGGUUGUGGAGGACCGAACCAGUGUAUAUUGCAAAAUGCUUGGAUGACUUGUGGUUAGCGGUGAAAUGCCAAUCGAACUUGGAGAUAGCUGGUUCUCCGCGAAAUAGUUAUAGGACUAGCGUCGUGUGAUAGCUUACGGGGGUAGAGCUCUGUCAAGAGAUAGGGGGAGCAAUCCUACCUACUCUUAAUAAACUACGAAUACCGUAUGUCUGUAUCACGGCAGUUAGAACGUCGGUGCUAAGAUCGGCGCUCAAAAGGGAAACAGCCCAGACCAUCAUCUAAGGUCCCCAAAUUUACGCUAAGUGGGAAACAAGGUGGAAUUUCUUAAACAGCUAGGAUGUUGGCUUAGAAGCAGCCAUUCAUUUAAAGAGUGCGUAACAGCUCACUAGUCAAGAGAUUCUGCGUGGAAGAUAUAACGGGGCUAAGCGUAAUACCGAAGAUAUGGAUUGCAAUUUAUUGCAGUGGUAGCGGAGCGUUCCUAUCGGCAGUGAAGCCGGACUGUUAAGUACCGGUGGAGCGUUAGGAAGUGAGAAUGCUGGAACGAGUAACCAUAAGACAGGUGAGAAUCCUGUCGGCCGAAAGAGCGAGGUUUCCUGGGCUAUGGUAAUCAUCCCAGGGUUAGUCGGGCCUAAGCCGAGGCGUUUAGCGUAGGCGAUGGACAUCAGGUUAAUAUUCCUGAACUAGUCAAACUUUGUAUGCAGUUAGCGAUGAGAUAGGUGGAGCGGAUUCAUGGUUUAUCCGUUCAAGUGAUAGAGGAAUCUUGAUCGAGUAAAAGUGAACCUACGGGUUUACGAUUCCGCUGAAGGCAUUGACCAGAAAAGCUGGCAUACGCAUGGGUUUGGCUACCCGUACCGCAAACCGACACAGGUGCUCGAGUCGAGGAGACUAAGGCUUACGAGAGAAUGAUUGCUAAGGAACUCGGCAAUACAGCGACCGUAACUUCGGAAUAAGGUCUGCCUACAUUUGUAGGCCGCAGCUAAAGAGCCCACGGAACUGUUUAUCAAAAACUCAGGUCUCUGCUAACACGAAAGUGGAUGUAUAGGGGCUGAAACCUGCCCGGUGCCGGAAGGUUAAGGGGAUUGCUUCACGGUGAGAACUGAAGCCCCGGUGAACGGCGGCGGUAACUAUAACCGUCCUAAGGUAGCGAAAUUCCUUGUCAGGUAAGUUCUGACCCGCACGAAUGGUUAAAUCAUGUGGGCACUGUCUCAGCAAUUAUCUCGGUGAAAAUGCAUUGGCGGUAAAGAUGCCGUCUGUCCGCACCAGGACGAAAAGACCCCGUGGAGCUUCACUACAGCUUUACAUUGUUGUGGGUUCUAACUUGUGUAGUAUAGGUGGGAGACUUUGAAGCAGAUACGCUAGUAUUUGUGGAGUCAUCAGUGAAAUACCACCCCCGUUAGGAUCUGCAUCUAACCUGUGCCGUUAUCCGGUAUAGGGACCGUGUAUGGUUGGUAGUUUAACUGGGGCGGUUGCCUCCUAAAGAGUAGCGGAGGCGUUCAAAGGUU